UACGAAGGGGGCUAGCGUUGCUCGGAAUGACUGGGCGUAAAGGGCGCGUAGGCGGCUUGGCAAGUCAGGCGUGAAAUUCCUGGGCUCAACCUGGGGGCUGCGCUUGAGACUGCUGGGCUUGAGGAUGGAAGAGGCUCGUGGAAUUCCCAGUGUAGAGGUGAAAUUCGUAGAUAUUGGGAAGAACACCGGUGGCGAAGGCGGCUCACUGGCUCGUAACUGACGCUCAGGCACGACAGCGUGGGGAUCAAACAGG
This 253-nucleotide ribosomal RNA is filed under the name uncultured bacterium. RNAcentral's name for it is "partial 16S ribosomal RNA". It matches the Rfam family "Bacterial small subunit ribosomal RNA", at positions 524 to 776 of the family's 1533-position model. The record is from RNAcentral.